CCUACGGGAGGCUGCAGUGGGGAAUAUUGGACAAUGGGCGAAAGCCUGAUCCAGCCAUGCCGCGUGUGUGAAGAAGGCCUUCGGGUUGUAAAGCACUUUCAGUGGGGAAGAAAGCCUUGGGGCUAAUACCCUCGAGGAAGGACAUCACCCACAGAAGAAGCACCGGCUAACUCCGUGCCAGCAGCCGCGGUAAUACGGAGGGUGCGAGCGUUAAUCGGAAUUACUGGGCGUAAAGCGCGCGUAGGCGGUCUGAUAAGCCGGUUGUGAAAGCCCCGGGCUCAACCUGGGAACGGCAUCCGGAACUGUCAGGCUAGAGUGCAGGAGAGGAAGGUAGAAUUCCCGGUGUAGGAGUGAAAUGCGUAGAGAUCGGGAGGAAUACCAGUGGCGAAGGCGGCCUUCUGGACUGACACUGACGCUGAGGUGCGAAAGCGUGGGUAGCAAACAGGAUUAGAUACCCGUGUAGUC
RNAcentral lists this ribosomal RNA (465 nucleotides) under Vreelandella stevensii. RNAcentral describes it as "partial 16S ribosomal RNA". It matches the Rfam family "Bacterial small subunit ribosomal RNA", at positions 338 to 795 of the family's 1533-position model. The record is from RNAcentral. Lineage: Bacteria; Pseudomonadati; Pseudomonadota; Gammaproteobacteria; Oceanospirillales; Halomonadaceae.